AGAGUUUGAUCCUGGCUCAGAUUGAACGCUGGCGGCAUGCCUUACACAUGCAAGUCGAACGGCAGCACGGGAGCAAUCCUGGUGGCGAGUGGCGAACGGGUGAGUAAUAUAUCGGAACGUGCCCAGUCGUGGGGGAUAACGUAGAGAAAUUUACGCUAAUACCGCAUACGAUCUAAGGAUGAAAGCGGGGGACUCUGCAAAGAGCCUCGCGCGAUUGGAGCGGCUGAUAUCAGAUUAGGUUGUUGGUGAGGUAAAAGCUCACCAAGCCGACGAUCUGUAGCUGGUUUGAGAGAACGACCAGCCACACUGGGACUGAGACACGGCCCAGACUCCUACGGGAGGCAGCAGUGGGGAAUUUUGGACAAUGGGCGAAAGCCUGAUCCAGCAAUGCCGCGUGCAGGAAGAAGGCCUUCGGGUUGUAAACUGCUUUUGUACGGAACGAAAAGGUCUGCCCUAAUACGGCGGGCCCAUGACGGUACCGUAAGAAUAAGCACCGGCUAACUACGUGCCAGCAGCCGCGGUAAUACGUAGGGUGCGAGCGUUAAUCGGAAUUACUGGGCGUAAAGCGUGCGCAGGCGGUUAUGUAAGACAGUUGUGAAAUCCCCGGGCUCAACCUGGGAAUUGCAUCUGUGACUGCAUAGCUAGAGUACGGUAGAGGGGGAUGGAAUUCCGCGUGUAGCAGUGAAAUGCGUAGAUAUGCGGAGGAACACCGAUGGCGAAGACAAUCCCCUGGACCUGUACUGACGCUCAUGCACGAAAGCGUGGGGAGCAAACAGGAUUAGAUGCCCUGGUAGUCCACGCCCUAAACGAUGUCAACUGGCUGUUGGGUGCAUUAGUACUCAGUAACGAAGCUAACGCGUGAAGUUGACCGCCUGGGGAGUACGGCCGCAAGGUUGAAACUCAAAGGAAUUGACGGGACCCGCACAAGCG
Molecule: ribosomal RNA, 930 nt
Filed under: uncultured bacterium
Lineage: Bacteria
Description: bacterial SSU rRNA
Rfam family: Bacterial small subunit ribosomal RNA
Source: RNAcentral